UACGUAGGUGGCAAGCGUUGUCCGGAAUUAUUGGGCGUAAAGCGCGCGCAGGCGGCUUCUUAAGUCUGAUGUGAAAGCCCACGGCUCAACCGUGGAGGGUCAUUGGAAGCUGGGGAGCUUGAGUACAGAAGAGGAGAGUGGAAUUCCAUGUGUAGCGGUGAAAUGCGUAGAUAUAUGGAGGAAUACCAGUGGCGAAGGCGGCUCUCUGGUCUGUAACUGACGCUGAGGCGCGAAAGCGUGGGGAGCAAACAGG
Molecule: ribosomal RNA, 253 nt
Filed under: uncultured bacterium
Lineage: Bacteria
Description: partial 16S ribosomal RNA
Rfam family: Bacterial small subunit ribosomal RNA
Source: RNAcentral